GUGAGGAAUUUUCCGCAAUGGGCGAAAGCCUGACGGAGCAAUGCCGCGUGAAGGAUGAAGGCCUAUGGGUUGUAAACUUCUUUUCUCAGAAAAGAAUUAUGACGGUAUCUGAGGAAUAAGGAUCGGCUAACUCCGUGCCAGCAGCCGCGGUAAUACGGAGGAUCCAAGCGUUAUCCGGAAUCAUUGGGUUUAAAGGGUCUGUAGGCGGUCUUAUAAGUCAGUGGUGAAAGCCCAUCGCUCAACGAUGGAACUGCCAUUGAUACUGUAAGACUUGAAUGCUUAGGAAGUAACUAGAAUAUGUAGUGUAGCGGUGAAAUGCUUAGAUAUUACAUGGAAUACCAAUUGCGAAGGCAGGUUACUACUAAGUGAUUGACGCUGAUGGACGAAAGCGUGGGGAGCGAACAGGAUUAGAAACCCCGGUAGUCC
RNAcentral lists this ribosomal RNA (426 nucleotides) under uncultured bacterium. RNAcentral describes it as "partial 16S ribosomal RNA". It matches the Rfam family "Bacterial small subunit ribosomal RNA", at positions 354 to 796 of the family's 1533-position model. The record is from RNAcentral.